RNAcentral lists this ribosomal RNA (695 nucleotides) under uncultured Escherichia sp. RNAcentral's name for it is "bacterial SSU rRNA". It matches the Rfam family "Bacterial small subunit ribosomal RNA", at positions 649 to 1344 of the family's 1533-position model. The record is from RNAcentral. Lineage: Bacteria; Pseudomonadati; Pseudomonadota; Gammaproteobacteria; Enterobacterales; Enterobacteriaceae.
UCGUAGAGGGGGGUAGAAUUCCAGGUGUAGCGGUGAAAUGCGUAGAGAUCUGGAGGAAUACCGGUGGCGAAGGCGGCCCCCUGGACGAAGACUGACGCUCAGGUGCGAAGGCGUGGGGAGCAGACAGGAUUAGAUACCCUGGUAGUCCACGCCGUAAACGAUGUCGACUUGGAGGUUGUGCCCUUGAGGCGUGGCUUCCGGAGCUAACGCGUUAAGUCGACCGCCUGGGGAGUGCGGCCGCAAGGUUAAAACUCAAAUGAAUUGACGGGGGCCCGCACAAGCGGUGGAGCAUGUGGUUUAAUUCGAUGCAACGCGAAGAACCUUACCUGGUCUUGACAUCCACGGAAGUUUUCAGAGAUGAGAAUGUGCCUUCGGGAACCGUGAGACAGGUGCUGCAUGGCUGUCGUCAGCUCGUGUUGUGAAAUGUUGGGUUAAGUCCCGCAACGAGCGCAACCCUUAUCCUUUGUUGCCAGCGGUCCGGCCGGGAACUCAAAGGAGACUGCCAGUGAUAAACUGGAGGAAGGUGGGGAUGACGUCAAGUCAUCAUGGCCCUUACGACCAGGGCUACACACGUGCUACAAUGGCGCAUACAAAGAGAAGCGACCUCGCGAGAGCAAGCGGACCUCAUAAAGUGCGUCGUAGUCCGGAUUGGAGUCUGCAACUCGACUCCAUGAAGUCGGAAUCGCUAGUAAUCG